Tinamus guttatus (white-throated tinamou) is the source of this 211-nucleotide non-coding RNA. The record is from RefSeq and is a predicted model, not a curated record. Lineage: Eukaryota; Metazoa; Chordata; Aves; Tinamiformes; Tinamidae.
AGGGCGCCCAGUGGCCCCCGCGGGCGGGCACCAUGAACGACUUCAGCUACCUGCACACCGACUGCCUGGAGCUCUCCAUCUACCUGGGCUGCGACAAGUUCCCGCACGGCAGCGAGCUGCGGCGCGAGUGGGAGGACAACAAGGAGGCUCUGCUCACCUUCAUGGAGCAGGUGCACCGGGGCAUCAAGGGGCUGGGGACGGACCAGCAGGG